Molecule: ribosomal RNA, 458 nt
Filed under: uncultured bacterium
Lineage: Bacteria
Description: bacterial SSU rRNA
Rfam family: Bacterial small subunit ribosomal RNA
Source: RNAcentral
AACGAACGCUGGCGGCAGGCUUAACACAUGCAAGUCGAGCGCCCCGCAAGGGGAGCGGCAGACGGGUGAGUAACGCGUGGGAAUCUACCCAUCUCUACGGAACAACUCCGGGAAACUGGAGCUAAUACCGUAUACGUCCUAAGGGAGAAAGAUUUAUCGGAGAUGGAUGAGCCCGCGUUGGAUUAGCUAGUUGGUGGGGUAAUGGCCUACCAAGGCGACGAUCCAUAGCUGGUCUGAGAGGAUGAUCAGCCACACUGGGACUGAGACACGGCCCAGACUCCUACGGGAGGCAGCAGUGGGGAAUAUUGGACAAUGGGCGCAAGCCUGAUCCAGCCAUGCCGCGUGAGUGAUGAAGGCCCUAGGGUUGUAAAGCUCUUUCAACGGUGAAGAUAAUGACGGUAACCGUAGAAGAAGCCCGGCUAACUUCGUGCCAGCAGCCGCGGUAAAAGUCAACGUCG